RNAcentral lists this ribosomal RNA (253 nucleotides) under uncultured bacterium. RNAcentral's name for it is "partial 16S ribosomal RNA". It matches the Rfam family "Bacterial small subunit ribosomal RNA", at positions 524 to 776 of the family's 1533-position model. The record is from RNAcentral.
UACGUAGGGCGCAAGCGUUGUCCGGAAUUAUUGGGCGUAAAGAGCUCGUAGGCGGCUUGUCACGUCGGGUGUGAAAGCCCGGGGCUUAACCCCGGGUCUGCAUUCGAUACGGGCAGGCUAGAGUUCGGUAGGGGAGACUGGAAUUCCUGGUGUAGCGGUGAAAUGCGCAGAUAUCAGGAGGAACACCGAUGGCGAAGGCAGGUCUCUGGGCCGAUACUGACGCUGAGGAGCGAAAGCGUGGGGAGCGAACAGG